RNAcentral lists this small nuclear RNA (23 nucleotides) under Arabidopsis thaliana (thale cress). Its description in RNAcentral is "snRNA_02548". The record is from RNAcentral. Lineage: Eukaryota; Viridiplantae; Streptophyta; Magnoliopsida; Brassicales; Brassicaceae.
CAUAGUUCAUUAGAGAAAGAGAC